AAUUUUUGAGUGCUUCUUCCUCGUGCUGGAGAUUUUAGGUUUCCUGAACUAUCUUUUGGUUACUCUGUUUCAGGUCAAUUCUUCAUCUCCUUCUCCCUCCUUCUGCGUGCUCUGCCUCCGGUCUGUGCUUGCCGCUCGUGCCUUGCGCUCUUUCUGCGUGCUUUGCCUCUAUGUGUUGCCGCUCGUGCUCUGCCUCCUGUCUCUGGUCUCAGACAUCCACCACUCCCGCCUCCAAUCUCGCACCUCAGACCACUUCCAUCAUCGUCAAUCGCACUCCCAGGUACCAUCCUUCACUCGCGAACAACCGCUCCGCCUCCUGCAUCUGUUUGCCUCUGCCGGUCUCAGAACCCGCGCCCCUGCUAGCCUCAGACACCGCCCCUUCGCUAGAUUGUUCGUGCCUCCUCUUCUCUUUAAUUCAUUUCGGUGCUUAACCCAUAUGACUACCAACCUAUAGAAGCAUACGCAGCUGCUCAUGGCACGCAUACUCUCUACUUCAGGUUUACCCCCAUCUUAUUCAGUUCCUAUGCUCUACCCUCUAAGCAAUUGUCUUUUUCUUUUUUUCUCUUUCGAGAAUUUUACCUUAGAAUGUCAUGAUCGGAAUUGGUUUAGGUUCUUUUGGUUUAGAUAUUUUUUCAAAGUUGGAUUUCAGAAAUUGUUCAGAGACAUCCAAAGAUAAUCUAAAUAUUGAGCAAGAACUUCACAUGUGGAAAGAAAAGGCAAAGGAGCAAGAAAUGAUCAAUGAAGAGCAAAAUGUUAAGUUGAAAGAUGCUGAGUACAAGUUAAAAGAUCAAGGACGUCAACUAAAAGUUCAACAGAAAUGAAUUGGUUCUACUGAAAAGACAAUUCAUGCUUUGUAUAAAAAGUUGAAUCUCCCACUUCCUUCAACCUUGUCUGAUCCUACGAAAGAUGAGCUUGGGAUAGGCUCUAGUGAUGAUAACA
Non-coding RNA from Arachis ipaensis, 939 nucleotides. The record is from RefSeq and is a predicted model, not a curated record. Lineage: Eukaryota; Viridiplantae; Streptophyta; Magnoliopsida; Fabales; Fabaceae.